RNAcentral lists this ribosomal RNA (468 nucleotides) under uncultured bacterium. RNAcentral describes it as "partial 16S ribosomal RNA". It matches the Rfam family "Bacterial small subunit ribosomal RNA", at positions 28 to 507 of the family's 1533-position model. The record is from RNAcentral.
GACGAACGCUGGCGGCGUGCUUAACACAUGCAAGUCGAACGGAAAGGCCCUGCUUUUGUGGGGUGCUCGAGUGGCGAACGGGUGAGUAACACGUGAGUAACCUGCCCUUGACUUUGGGAUAACUUCAGGAAACUGGGGCUAAUACCGGAUAGGAGCUCCUGCUGCAUGGUGGGGGUUGGAAAGUUUCGGCGGUUGGGGCUGGACUCGCGGCUUAUCCGCUUGUUUGUGGGGUAGUGGCUUACCAAGGCUUUGACGGGUAGCCGGCCUGAGAGGGUGACCGGCCACAUUGGGACUGAGGGACGGCCCAGUAUCGUACGGGAGGCAGCAGGGGGGAAUAUUGCACAAUGGGGGGAAGCCUGAUGCAGCAACGCCGCGUGCGGGAUGACGGCCUUCGGGUUGUAAACCGAUUUCGCCUGUGACGAAGCGUGAGUGACGGUAAUGGGUAAAGAAGCACCGGCUAACUACGUG